CUCCAGCCUCGUCCUGGCCGGCCCCUCCUCCCUGGCUCCUCCCUGUUGAAAGACGCUCCUAUAAGGGCCAGGCGGAGCCCCGAGCUGUGGCUGAGCCCAGAGGUCAGCACGGUGCAGCUACCCAAGACCAUGCGGCCGCAACACAGGUUCCUCUCGCUCACGGCGACCGCGCUCCUGCUCCUGGCCAUCGUGGUGGCAGAUGAGCCUGCGACCUCCCCCCAUCCCGUGGCCCCGUCAGGCAGCCAGGCGCCAGAGACCCUGGCAAGUGCCGCUGAGCCCCUCAUCUCCGGCAGAUCGGAGGCUUCGGGAGAAAAGGUCACGCACGUGAGCUUUGCGGGGGCAGAUCGCUCCCACACGGACGACGGGAACGGAGAUCUCCUGCUGAACAGUGAUGGCUCUGGCCCCGGUGCCUUCAGCUUUGACCUGCUGCCUGGGGACACACCGAGCGGUCCUGCCGUGGACACGUCUGCUCACUCCCACGAGUCCCAAGAAAGCCUGGACCACGAAGCAGAUUCAGAAGAGUCCCUCGCAUCCCAAGAUAAGUCUCCUGUUAGCUCAGUGCCUUGAACGAGCCGGCCCCACAUUGCUCCUGCUCCCCAGGUGUUUGCUGCUGCCCACCACAACCCCCCUCAGCUGACCCAGGCUCCCCCUUGCUUGACUGCAUUCACGCCCCGUGGCCCCUGGGCCCCUGCAGCGUCCAUCAAAUGCCCAGCAAAAGCUCCCUGGUGUGCCCCAUGGUGCCCCGCACUUUCCAGCUGGGGACUUGGCAUUUUAAAAGAACGUGCCAGGGCCAAGAAGCGCGGCCUCCCACACGGCCUCCUAAAAACCCGGGAAAGCGACGGGCUGCCGGUCCUGGAAACUGCCACGCACCCAACGAUCCCCUCGUGUCGGACGCAGAGAAACCUGGCCGGGCAUGUCAGCUGUGCNUGCACUGUGCAGCUGCUCACGGUGGGCCGCCAGCCCCUUUCCAAAGCAAGUGCUUCUUNCCCCCAACCCUUCCUUCAGCCCCGUGAACUCCUUCCUGGUUCCCAUAAACUGAGACCUUCCCGCCAUGGCCCUCUGCUGGAGAGACCAGCGUGCCUUCUCAAGUGCAGAGGAGCCUCACAGGACGUUGGGUUCCUGGGAAACGACUUAGUUCAAAACGUGCUACCCCCGUGAUCCCAGGGUCUGGGGGCCCCCCAGAGGCCAGGCGCAAGUGUGGCUUUGGCACCAUCCAAGGACGGGCGAGGGAGGCAGCUGCCCCCGUCCGCCUCUGCCCUCCUCGGAUGCACUUAAGGGCUCUUCUGCCAUCAUGCCUGGGUGGGGAAUCUUUGCCCCCUCCUCACCCAGCCAUGCAGUUCUGCAUUUUGAUGGCCAGUGACGCCCUCCUGAAGACGAAGUGCCUCUCCUCCCCGUGACCAAGGAAAGGAAACCUGGCCGGUGUCCCAUCACUAAGGCAAAAACCAUGACACCUGCCUGCGCCUGCACACACACACCUGCCGUCAGUAUGCUCCCCGGGUGAAAAAUGUGGCUCUGUGCCCUAUUUUUAUCCCCACUGUGGCAAUCUCCGGGUAGGGGCACAGGGAGC
RNAcentral lists this long non-coding RNA (1567 nucleotides) under Salvator merianae (Argentine black and white tegu). RNAcentral's name for it is "lncRNA (ENSSMRG00000009195.1)". The record is from RNAcentral. Lineage: Eukaryota; Metazoa; Chordata; Lepidosauria; Squamata; Teiidae.